CCAAAGCCGCUUUAGUCCACAGAAGAAGCACAUCACAUCUGUUCAGUGGUCUUCCCGGUUUUACAAAGUAUAUCAGCUCAGCCUUAGACUGAAUAACAACUUCGAAUAAUAUUGCUUCAGGAUGAAG
Molecule: long non-coding RNA, 127 nt
Organism: Exaiptasia diaphana
Lineage: Eukaryota; Metazoa; Cnidaria; Anthozoa; Actiniaria; Aiptasiidae
Exons: 3
Source: RefSeq, a predicted model, not a curated record